AGCAUCCAUAUCCAACAAGAUUCAUAGUUUUGUACGGUUCUUCGUUAUACAUAUCCCAGUGUAUGGCACUCUUCUUGCUUCCUAGCUCAGACAAUACUUCUCGCUUGAUCACUGACGUGUGAUCUGUAGUCAUUUGUAUCUCUGGAUAGUAGGACCGUUUCUUCCUGGAAGUAGACCGCCAAUUACACAGACACACUGCUCUUACAUCAUCUCUUCACGUUACGUUUUUCGGUGAUAGUGGUGUAUUGAACGAUAUAGGUAAUAUAUCACCGUGAAGGAGAUUGAACGAGAGUGUGGGAUACAACAGGAGCAACGCCACCAAGCCCCGUAGGAAUAUCGCAGAAUACCCUUCCCGCUUCUGAAAUACUUCUUUUUCUUUAUCGCCCAAUUUUCCAUUGCACCGUCUUCGUUGCCGGAAAAUAUGAGUGGCAAUUAUCGAUAUGAUUCAGUGGGAGUACUCGCGUUUGAAGAUCCAGAGGAUGGACUAUUAUCACUCUCAGUUGCUCUCCGUUGACGUCGAUGGCUUGACUUGCUAGCAGAUACUGGAAGUCUUUUGGUGUUUUGAUGAUUACAUCGGACAAUCAUGAUAUCGUUCAGGAUCUGUCCCACCGGGUUUGAAGCAAAUACGUGAAGGAGGUGUCGAGUUUAUCUUGUUAUCAACCCACCGGAGAGUUUUCCUUUGCUGGCGGAAUAAUCAAUUUGUAUCGAUGAAUGUGGUGAUUUAUUGAAGAAAUUGAUGAUAUUGAUGGGAUAAUUAUGAUGAUGAUGUUGAUGAUAAUAAU
Molecule: long non-coding RNA, 782 nt
Organism: Diachasma alloeum
Lineage: Eukaryota; Metazoa; Arthropoda; Insecta; Hymenoptera; Braconidae
Exons: 4
Source: RefSeq, a predicted model, not a curated record